This 498-nucleotide ribosomal RNA is filed under the name uncultured bacterium. RNAcentral describes it as "partial 16S ribosomal RNA". It matches the Rfam family "Bacterial small subunit ribosomal RNA", at positions 30 to 523 of the family's 1533-position model. The record is from RNAcentral.
AUUGAACGCUGGCGGCAUGCCUUACACAUGCAAGUCGAACGGUAACAGGUCUUCGGAUGCUGACGAGUGGCGAACGGGUGAGUAAUACAUCGGAACGUGCCUAGUAGUGGGGGAUAACUACUCGAAAGAGUGGCUAAUACCGCAUGAGAUCUACAGAUGAAAGCAGGGGAUCGCAAGACCUUGUGCUACUAGAGCGGCCGAUGGCAGAUUAGGUAGUUGGUGGGAUAAAAGCUUACCAAGCCGACGAUCUGUAGCUGGUCUGAGAGGACGACCAGCCACACUGGGACUGAGACACGGCCCAGACUCCUACGGGAGGCAGCAGUGGGGAAUUUUGGACAAUGGGCGAAAGCCUGAUCCAGCAAUGCCGCGUGCAGGAUGAAGGCCUUCGGGUUGUAAACUGCUUUUGUACGGAACGAAAAGCCCCGGGUUAAUACCCUGGGGUCAUGACGGUACCGUAAGAAUAAGCACCGGCUAACUACGUGCCAGCCGCCGCUGUAA